Molecule: ribosomal RNA, 457 nt
Filed under: uncultured Thiobacillus sp.
Lineage: Bacteria; Pseudomonadati; Pseudomonadota; Betaproteobacteria; Nitrosomonadales; Thiobacillaceae
Description: bacterial SSU rRNA
Rfam family: Bacterial small subunit ribosomal RNA
Source: RNAcentral
ACCCGCACAAGCGGUGGAUGAUGUGGAUUAAUUCGAUGCAACGCGAAAACCUUACCUACCCUUGACAUGUCCGGAAUCCUGCAGAGAUGCGGGAGUGCCCGAAAGGGAAUCGGAACACAGGUGCUGCAUGGCUGUCGUCAGCUCGUGUCGUGAGAUGUUGGGUUAAGUCCCGCAACGAUCGCAACCCUUAUCAUUAGUUGCUACGCAAGGGCACUCUAAUGAGACUGCCGGUGACAAACCGGAGGAAGUGGGGAUGACGUCAAGUCCUCAUGGCCCUUAUGGGUAGGGCUUCACACGUCAUACAAUGGUCGGUACAGAGGGUUGCCAAGCCGCGAGGUGGAGCCAAUCCCAGAAAGCCGAUCGUAGUCCGGAUUGUUCUCUGCAACUCGAGAGCAUGAAGUCGGAAUCGCUAGUAAUCGCGGAUCAGCAUGUCGCGGUGAAUACGUUCCCGGGUCUU